This 451-nucleotide ribosomal RNA is filed under the name uncultured bacterium. Its description in RNAcentral is "bacterial SSU rRNA". It matches the Rfam family "Bacterial small subunit ribosomal RNA", at positions 28 to 524 of the family's 1533-position model. The record is from RNAcentral.
AACGAACGCUGGCGGCAUGCCUAACACAUGCAAGUCGAGCGCCCGUAGCAAUACGGGAGCGGCGCACGGGUGAGUAACGCGUGGGAACCUGCCUAGAGGUCUGGGACAACCGCGGGAAACUGCGGCUGAUACCGGAUGAUUCCUGAGGGACAAAGAUUUAUCGCCUUUGGAGGGGCCCGCGUCGGAUUAGGUAGUUGGUAGGGUAACGGCUCGCCAAGCCUAUGAUCCGUAACUGGUCUGAGAGGAUGACCAGUCACACUGGGACUGAGACACGGCCCAGACUCCUACGGGAGGCAGCAGUGGGGAGUAUUGGACAAUGGGGGGCAACCCUGAUCCAGCAAUGCCGCGUGGGUGAUGAAGGCCUUCGGUUGUAAGCCUUUCGGCGGGGACGGAUGAUGACGGUACCCGCAGAAGAAGCCCCGGCUAACUUCGUGCCAGCAGCCGCGGUAAU